GGUUUUGUAGUUUAAAAAAAACAUUUGCUUGCAAAGCACAAGAAGGAGUAAUCCCGGAACUU
This 62-nucleotide transfer RNA is filed under the name Chiridota sp. SS-2021. Its description in RNAcentral is "tRNA-Cys". The record is from RNAcentral. Lineage: Eukaryota; Metazoa; Echinodermata; Holothuroidea; Apodida; Chiridotidae.